AGUGGCGGACGGGUGAGUACAACUUAGGAAUCUGCCUAGUAGCUGGGGAUAACUUUAAGAAAUUGAAGCUAAUACCGAAUACGCCCUACGGGGGAAAGCGGGGGAUCUUCGGACCUCGCACUAUUAGAUGAGCCUAAGCCGGAUUAGCUAGUUGGUGGGGUAAAGGCCUACCAAGGCGACGAUCCGUAGCUGGUCUGAGAGGACGAUCAGCCACACUGGGACUGAGACACGGCCCAGACUCCUACGGGAGGCAGCAGUCGGGAAUAUUGGACAAUGGGGGCAACCCUGAUCCAGCAAUGCCGCGUGUGUGAAGAAGGCCUGCAGGUUGUAAAGCACUUUCAAAUGUGAAGAAGGGUGCGGAGUUAAUACCUUCGUACAUUGACGUUAACAUUAGAAGAAGCACCGGCUAAUUUAGUGCCAGCAGCCGCGGUAAUACUAAAGGUGCGAGCGU
Molecule: ribosomal RNA, 451 nt
Filed under: uncultured bacterium
Lineage: Bacteria
Description: bacterial SSU rRNA
Rfam family: Bacterial small subunit ribosomal RNA
Source: RNAcentral